Molecule: ribosomal RNA, 492 nt
Filed under: uncultured bacterium
Lineage: Bacteria
Description: partial 16S ribosomal RNA
Rfam family: Bacterial small subunit ribosomal RNA
Source: RNAcentral
AGUGAACGCUGGCGGUAGGCCUAACACAUGCAAGUCGAACGGCAGCACAGUAAGAGCUUGCUCUUACGGGUGGCGAGUGGCGGACGGGUGAGGAAUACAUCGGAAUCUACUUUUUCGUGGGGGAUAACGUAGGGAAACUUACGCUAAUACCGCAUACGACCUACGGGUGAAAGCAGGGGAUCUUCGGACCUUGCGCGAUUGAAUGAGCCGAUGUCGGAUUAGCUAGUUGGCGGGGUAAAGGCCCACCAAGGCGACGAUCCGUAGCUGGUCUGAGAGGAUGAUCAGCCACACUGGAACUGAGACACGGUCCAGACUCCUACGGGAGGCAGCAGUGGGGAAUAUUGGACAAUGGGCGCAAGCCUGAUCCAGCAAUACCGCGUAGGUGAAGAAGGCCUUCGGGUUGUAAAGCCCUUUUGUUGGGAAAGAAAAGCAGCAGGUUAAUACCCCGCUGUUCUGACGGUACCCAAAGAAUAAGCACCGGCUAACUUCGUG